CUGUACUGGCUGCACGGCACCCUAACUACCAUGGGACAUUGUGCGGCCACAGCUCACACAGCCCCCUCCAGCCAGGGCCGGUGCAAGGAUUUUUGCCGCCCUAGGCAAAAGUAAAGUUUGCCGCCCCCCCAUGUGACAUCACAAUGCCCCACACAUAUGAUUUGCCAUGUUAACUAACGCCAGUGCUGCAGUGCCGCCGUGUUUACAUUAAAAGGCCUGCAGGGACAGGCUAUAGACACCAGAACCAUUACAUUAAGCUGAAGUGGUUCUGGGGACUAUAGUGUUUCUUUAAUGUGAGGUAAAUUAGAGCUUAGUGCCACGAAUAAUAUACUAGAUUGCCUACUUACAUCCAGAUGAGGAUGAUGAUGGGCUCUAGCUGCAGUCUGGCUCCACUGGUCUGGUGUACAA
Molecule: non-coding RNA, 408 nt
Organism: Pelobates cultripes (western spadefoot toad)
Lineage: Eukaryota; Metazoa; Chordata; Amphibia; Anura; Pelobatidae
Source: the annotation of a GenBank genome assembly